RNAcentral lists this ribosomal RNA (435 nucleotides) under uncultured Lachnospiraceae bacterium. Its description in RNAcentral is "bacterial SSU rRNA". It matches the Rfam family "Bacterial small subunit ribosomal RNA", at positions 341 to 792 of the family's 1533-position model. The record is from RNAcentral. Lineage: Bacteria; Bacillati; Bacillota; Clostridia; Lachnospirales; Lachnospiraceae.
ACGGGAGGCAGCAGUGGGGAAUAUUGCACAAUGGGGGGAACCCUGAUGCAGCGACGCCGCGUGAGUGAAGAAGUAUUUCGGUAUGUAAAGCUCUAUCAGCAGGGAAGAAGAAAGACGGUACCUGACUAAGAAGCACCGGCUAAAUACGUGCCAGCAGCCGCGGUAAUACGUAUGGUGCAAGCGUUAUCCGGAUUUACUGGGUGUAAAGGGAGCGUAGGUGGUCUGGCAAGCCAGAAGUGAAAGCCCGGGGCUUAACCGCGGGACUGCUUUUGGAACUGUUGGACUGGAGUGCAGGAGGGGUAAGCGGAAUUCCUGGUGUAGCGGUGAAAUGCGUAGAUAUCAGGAGGAACACCGGUGGCGAAGGCGGCUUACUGGACUGUAACUGACACUGAGGCUCGAAAGCGUGGGGAGCAAACAGGAUUAGAUACCCUGGUA